RNAcentral lists this ribosomal RNA (288 nucleotides) under uncultured bacterium. RNAcentral's name for it is "partial 16S ribosomal RNA". It matches the Rfam family "Bacterial small subunit ribosomal RNA", at positions 335 to 607 of the family's 1533-position model. The record is from RNAcentral.
ACUCCUACGGGAGGCAGCAGUGGGAAUAUUGCACAAUGGGGAAGGCCAUCGAUGCAGCCAUGCCGCGCUGUGUGAAGAAGGCCAAUUCGGGCUUGGUUAAAGACACUUUUCAGUAGGGAGGAAGGUAGUGUAGUUAACACCUGCACUAUUUGACGUUACCUACAGAAGAAGCACCGGCUAACUCCGUGCCAGCAGCCGCGGUAAUACGGAGGGUGCGAGCGUUAAUCGGAAUUACUGGGCGUAAAGCGCAUGCAGGCGGCCUGUUAAGUCAGAUGUGAAAGCCCGGGC